GUGAUAGGUGGGGAGUUAGCGGUGCCCUGUAUCUGCAAUCCGCUACAGCAGAGCCGAACGCUUUUCUCGGUGUUGUCUAUGGGAGGCUGCAUCGGGUAAGGAAUGUUGAUCGCAAGGUCUUAUGCAACGUGCGUCCGCGAACCGUGUCAGGGUAGGGAUACAGCAGCACUAAACGGUGCCGCACGUGUGCCAUAAGGUAGCUUUGCGGGAGUCACCUGCCCGGUUCCCG
This 229-nucleotide signal recognition particle RNA is filed under the name Candidatus Gallimonas intestinigallinarum. RNAcentral describes it as "Bacterial large signal recognition particle RNA". It matches the Rfam family "Bacterial large signal recognition particle RNA", at positions 3 to 231 of the family's 256-position model. From Rfam's summary of the family: The signal recognition particle (SRP) is a universally conserved ribonucleoprotein involved in the co-translational targeting of proteins to membranes. Lineage: Bacteria; Bacillati; Bacillota; Clostridia. RNAcentral also lists the same sequence under 1 other name. The record is from RNAcentral.